This 389-nucleotide ribosomal RNA is filed under the name uncultured bacterium. RNAcentral describes it as "bacterial SSU rRNA". It matches the Rfam family "Bacterial small subunit ribosomal RNA", at positions 28 to 417 of the family's 1533-position model. The record is from RNAcentral.
GAUGAACGCUGGCGGCGUGCCUAAUACAUGCAAGUCGAACGAAUCUUCUUCGGAAGAUGAGUGGCGAACGGGUGAGUAAUACAUAGGUAACCUGCCCCUGUGCGGGGGAUAACAGGAGGAAACUCCUGCUAAUACCGCAUAGCCAUGAGCACCGCAUGGAGCUCAUGCCAAAUAUCCUUCAGGGGAUAGCGCAGGGAUGGACCUAUGGCGCAUUAGCUAGUUGGCGGGGCAACGGCCCACCAAGGCAACGAUGCGUAGCCGGCCUGAGAGGGCGGACGGCCACAUUGGGACUGAGACACGGCCCAGACUCCUACGGGAGGCAGCAGUAGGGAAUUUUCGGCAAUGGGGGAAACCCUGACCGAGCAACGCCGCGUGAGCGAAGAAGGCCU